RNAcentral lists this long non-coding RNA (2510 nucleotides) under Mytilus galloprovincialis (Mediterranean mussel). Lineage: Eukaryota; Metazoa; Mollusca; Bivalvia; Mytilida; Mytilidae. The record is from RNAcentral.
AGUCCAAAACUGCAAUGAUUUCAAUGUUUUCUACCUUUCCACAAUUCCGGUCUGUCCAGGACGCUAUUGUACUGGUAACUAUGAUAGGUAUUUUUCUGGGGUUUUUUGGCCCUUGUUUCUCACAUUUUUUCAAAUUAUUUGGCUGAAUAUGUAGUACAUAUUUCAGAUUAAACACAUUAUCGUGAGUUUUAUUGUUAUUGACGUAUUUUUGUAUUCAAAGCUUGUAUUCUUUUAAUGUGACUGUUGCUGUUAACAAAUAGCAUAUUUAGAUAUUACAGGUUACUUUUGGUUAUUAACAGGACACAAAUACCCCUCCACUUAUAUUCAGAAAGGGGCCAAUUCGUUGCAAUAAUUGCGAAGAGUAAAAAUACUUCUAGACAAUUUGAAUGGCAAAUGUGCAUGUAUUAUGUAUUUAUUUUGCAAUCAGGGCUUUAAGUAAACUAUGAAUAAUGUAUAAACUGUGAAUUUAUGGAAAUAAUUUUUACAAAGAACAUUUUGGCAUUCACCUAAACAGUUAUCCUAACCUUUAAACAGACUUGAUUAGAAAUGGUAUAGUUACUUAUAAGGUUAUUAAAGAUGGUUUUAUUUUGGUUUACAUAUUAUUUCACGCAUAGGUUUCUUGCAUCGGAAAUACACACAUUUCUUUUAGAACCAGUUGUUGGCAUGAUACGGGUUGAGUUUUUCUCAUAUAUCUUUCAAAGACUGGAUUAUACUAAACCCCUGACGAUAGAAUAUGCUUGAUUUUCGUAUUAAGGAGACAUACUCUCUCAAUCAGUUUAAUUGAGGUUCUGAAGCUGUCACGUCAGUAACUGCUAUUAGUCCUUUGUUAAUUUAUGUUUCAUUGUCAUGUUGCUUAGUUUCUUCUGUUACAUUUUUAUUGGACUCUGACUUCUUUUCAAUUGAGUUUAACUGAUGUAUGUUUUUUUUUGUAUCAAUACACCAUUCACACCUUGCGUUCUAAUCAUGUUCACAUAUACAAAAGGUGGUACUGCGACACAAGUUCAAACAUCUCAAUCUUUCGUAUCUACAAAUCGAUUCCGUCCUCUUAUCUUUAAAAAUGACAUCACCGAAAGAAUUUCAUCACACAAUUUGUACUUAAUGUUAGCAGCGAGCGUUCUCUGCAUGGAUUGUCAAAGGUUUCUGUAUUAUUGUAGACCUUUGAUGAUUUAAAAAUGUAUUGUGUGUGAUUUGAUUUGGUCUUGCUAUUUGGUUCGUCUGGCUUACAAGCAGGGUAUGCACGUAUUGUUAAAAGGGAUAGUAACGUGAUUAGUGAAGUGAGAGUUUUUUUAUUCUCCGUGUUGAAGCGCAAAUUUGACUCUAAGAUGAAUAACAACAAUACAAUCGCUGUGACGUUGUUUUAUAUGUGUGGUUUUUUUUUGCUAUGCAUGUACUGAUUUUGUGUCAUGGAUCGAUAUCCUAUAUCCUUUGUUUGUAUACUAUAUGAUCACAUUCAAUGAUAACAUUUGGUAGGUUACCGUAAAACAUUUUCAGAAACCAUGUUCGGACAGACACUUUUAUUGUGGUCUUUUGAUUUUUGUAUUAACAUUGUGUCAUAGAUCAAAUCUAUUUUGUCAGUGUAUGAACGCUUUCGUUAAUAUGUCGUAUGGUUGAGCUCAGCCAUUUCAUUUGUUUUUUUUUAUAGUGGGUCUUUCUUCGUUACACUACUGUUUCGUUUAAUGAUGAAGGUUGGCAUCUAUCAAAACUGCCAAGCCCGUUGCACUUGUUUGCACCUAUUCUUAUGGAAUUAAGUAAAUCGGUUUUAAUACACGAAAGUUUAGAGUUUUCUGCUCGUGACAUUCCGAGAGUCAACUGAAUUGAACAAAAUAGCCAUUACAGAUCGACAAAUACAGAGUUGAAUGUUCUAAUUGUGUGGAAAUUUAAUCGAGUAUCAAAAUGUACAAUUGACUAGUUUGUGCUUAGUUAUUUUUGACCGAGUUGAUAUACCUUAUUAAAACGAUUCCUUUAUUUUCAGCUCCUCCUAUAUCCUUUAGCGGUACACCACAUGAUAUGCCAUUUAUACCUUCAUUCGAUCCUUUAUCUGAUGAAAGAUCUUUGGCUUUUCGAUGCGAAGCCUCAAUACCAUCAGACUAUCAUAGAUACGUUUUUGACAUAACCUGGUUUAUUAAUCAGAAUAAAAUCGUCGAUAAGUACAAUAUCACAUAUAGUAAGCUAGUGACCGACGGAGUUCUUCACCAAAAAGACUGGGAUUCACAUCCAAACGGAACUAAAGUUCUCGGAUUUUGGUUAAGUGAAGUUUUUUUUAUAUACAGCAUGAAUGCUUAAACGUUUCGGUUAGUUGAGAAAAUGAUAAACAAACAAAUUGGUUUAAAUUUUUUAUGAUUUAACUUGUAACCAUUUUACAGAGAUUUACAUCUAUAUUUCAAAGAACUUCCCGAUUUUACGGAGCCGACUGAUCAAGUACCCUGCGUUGUUUACCUUAGGCGAAAAACAGAUAUUUAAAAUAAUAAUCUGUGUUAAAGAGGGGUGUGGAGAAAGAUACACGAAGGGGA